Molecule: long non-coding RNA, 330 nt
Organism: Hylaeus anthracinus
Lineage: Eukaryota; Metazoa; Arthropoda; Insecta; Hymenoptera; Colletidae
Exons: 2
Source: RefSeq, a predicted model, not a curated record
UGCUAACUCAAUUUUAUUUCCAUGUAAAAGUAUAGAGAAAAAUGUAUCAAAGUGUUUCAGGAUAAAAUUAAUUCCAUUUGCUUGGAGUGAUUUUCUUGCUUCUACAAAAAGAAAAUUAAUAUAGUGGGAGAGACGUCUAAAGAUAGUGAAUGACAUUUAUUACAUACCAUCGAUGGCGUGUGAAAGCAUCCGUACAGGAACGAGUUUUUCAACAGAAAAUUGUCCACUCUUUCUUCUUUGCAACAGUUCAUCCUUAUUUACAGGAAUAACAAAAUCCUUUAUCAUUUUGGUUAAAUUCUCUUCUGUAGCCCCAGGUUAAUAUCUCGUUCC